RNAcentral lists this ribosomal RNA (25 nucleotides) under Giardia duodenalis. RNAcentral's name for it is "Giardia intestinalis partial large subunit ribosomal RNA". Lineage: Eukaryota; Fornicata; Diplomonadida; Hexamitidae. The record is from RNAcentral.
CCCGAGGCGGCGGGGGCGACGGGCG